RNAcentral lists this ribosomal RNA (1107 nucleotides) under uncultured archaeon. RNAcentral's name for it is "bacterial SSU rRNA". It matches the Rfam family "Archaeal small subunit ribosomal RNA", at positions 331 to 1439 of the family's 1478-position model. The record is from RNAcentral.
CGCAGCAGGCGAGAAAACUUUGCAAUGUGCGAAAGCACGACAAGGUUAAUCCGAGUGGUUUCUGCUAAAGGAACCUUUUGUCAGUCCUAGAAACACUGAUGAAUAAGGGGUGGGCAAGUUCUGGUGUCAGCCGCCGCGGUAAAACCAGCACCUCAAGUGGUCAGGAUGAUUAUUGGGCCUAAAGCAUCCGUAGCCGGCUCUGUAAGUUUUCGGUUAAAUCUGUACGCUCAACGUACAGGCUGCCGGGAAUACUGCAGAGCUAGGGAGUGGGAGAGGUAGACGGUACUCGGUAGGAAGGGGUAAAAUCCUUUGAUCUAUUGAUGACCACCUGUGGCGAAGGCGGUCUACCAGAACACGUCCGACGGUGAGGGAUGAAAGCUGGGGGAGCAAACCGGAUUAGAUGCCCGGGUAGUCCCAGCUGUAAACUAUGCAAACUCAGUGAUGCAUUGGCUUGUGGCCAAUGCAGUGCUGCAGGGAAGCCGUUAAGUUUGCCGCCUGGGAAGUACGUACGCAAGUAUGAAACUUAAAGGAAUUGGCGGGGGAGCACCACAAGGGGUGAAGCCUGCGGUUCAAUUGGAGUCAACGCCAGAAAUCUUACCCGGAGAGACAGCAGAAUGAAGGUCAAGAUGAAGACUUUACCAGACAAGCUGAGAGGUGGUGCAUGGCCGUCGCCAGCUCGUGCCGUGAGAUGUCCUGUUAAGUCAGGUAACGAGCGAGAUCCCUGCCUCUAGUUGCCACCAUUACUCUCAGGAGUAGUGGGGCGAAUUAGCGGGACCGCCGCAGUUAAUGCGGAGGAAGGAAGGGGCCACGGCAGGUCAGUAUGCCCCGAAACUCUGGGGCCACACGCGGGCUGCAAUGGUAACGACAAUUGGUUCCAAAUCCGAAAGGAUGAGGUAACCCUCAAACGUUACCACAGUUAUGACUGAGGGCUGCAACUCGCCCUCACGAAUAUGGAAUCCCUAGUAACUGCGUGUCAUUAUCGCGCGGUGAAUACGUCCCUGCUCCUUGCACACACCGCCCGUCGUUUCAUUGAAGUGAGCUUUUAGCGAGGUGACGUCUAAUUGGCGUUAUCGAACUUGAGGUUCGUGACAAGGGAAAAGUCGUAAC